This 292-nucleotide ribosomal RNA is filed under the name uncultured crenarchaeote. Its description in RNAcentral is "16S ribosomal RNA". It matches the Rfam family "Archaeal small subunit ribosomal RNA", at positions 101 to 373 of the family's 1478-position model. Lineage: Archaea; Thermoproteati; Thermoproteota. The record is from RNAcentral.
UUGUCAACCUGCCCUGGAGACAAGGACAACCCCGGGAAACUGGGAUUAAUCCUUGAUAGGUCAUCUCAUCUGGAAGGAGAGAUGGCUUAAAGGGGUACGCGGGCUUCUUCCGGGCAUCCGCUCCAGGAUGGGACUGCGUCCGAUCAGGCUGUUGGCGGGGUAAUGGCCCACCAAACCUGUAACCGGUACGGGCCUUGAGAGAGGUGGCCCGGAGAUGGACACUGAGAGAAGGGUCCAGGUCCUACGGGGCGCAGCAGGCGCGAAACCUUCGCAAUGCGCGAAAGCGUGACGA